CACCUCUAGCAUUACCAGUAUUAGAGGCACCGCCUGCCCAGUGACAUUAGUUAAACGGCCGCGGUAUCCUGACCGUGCAAAGGUAGCAUAAUCAUUUGUUCCUUAAUUAGGGACUUGUAUGAAUGGCCCCACGAGGGUUUGACUGUCUCUUACUUUUAAUCAGUGAAAUUGACCUCCCCGUGAAGAGGCGGGGAUAUGAAAAUAAGACGAGAAGACCCUAUGGAGCUUAAAUUAAUAUGUUCAACAGAAUUUACAUCACACCCAACAGGGAUAAUUAUAAUUUAACUGAGCAUAAAAUUUUGGUUGGGGUGACCUCGGAGAAUAAACGAGCCUCCGAGCAAUUUAACCGAGACUAACCCGUCAAAGUCACAUUACUUAUUGAUCCAAUCCUAUUGAUCAACGAAACAAGUUACCCUAGGGAUAACAGCGCAAUCCUAUUUGAGAGUUCAUAUCGACAAUAGGGUUUACGACCUCGAUGUUGGAUCAGGACACCCCAAUGGUGCAGCAGCUAUUAAAGGUUCGUUUGUUCAACG
Molecule: ribosomal RNA, 533 nt
Filed under: Crocidura jouvenetae
Lineage: Eukaryota; Metazoa; Chordata; Mammalia; Eulipotyphla; Soricidae
Description: partial 16S ribosomal RNA
Rfam family: Bacterial large subunit ribosomal RNA
Source: RNAcentral